Molecule: long non-coding RNA, 1171 nt
Filed under: Equus asinus (donkey)
Lineage: Eukaryota; Metazoa; Chordata; Mammalia; Perissodactyla; Equidae
Description: lncRNA (ENSEASG00005025737.1)
Source: RNAcentral
UGAAUUUCCAGUUUCUCCAGAGAAACCAGAAAUGUGGGUUUCACAAAAAGAUGUGGCAGCUGGUUUUUCAGUAUUGGCCGUGAGCUCUCUUAACUCCAUUAGUUUGUUCCUUUGUCCUUUCUGACUACUUAGGUCCAACUCAAGCAUACGGAGCCCAGCUCUGGCCCUCGCGCCAACGCUUUGCAACCUCGAGUCAAGAGCUUGACGGGGACGGCAUCCCCCACUUUGUGUGACCAGAAGAGCUAUGAGCAGGGGGUGGGGGACCUCAGAUCUACUCGUGGUUCCACCACUUGUUAGCUGUGGGCAUCUGCUUCAAAAAAAAAAAAGCCAAAAAGCCUCUCCGAGCCUCAGUCUCCUCAUCUGUAAAAUGGGUACCAUCUCGUGCAGCGGGCUCACCCCCUGGGGUGGUUGUGAAGGCUGAGCGACAUAAUUUAUUCAGCAAACACCACGUGCAAGCAAAGUCUUGAGCUUGUGAUGUGGCUACCAGAGAACUUAAAAUCACACCUGGGACUUACACCACAAUUCUAUUUGUAGAUAGCGAUCGGGUGGGAAUUUGAAAGGAGGACAUGGGAGUCGCUCUGAACUGAGCCUCAAUAAAAGAAAUUGUUUAUGCACAAAUUGAAACAGAUACGAAGAGCAUAGUACUCCCCAUGCGCUCGUCCCGGUUCGAAGUCCUCAGCUCGCACAGCCUAUCUUUCUGCAUCGAUGUGUCUCCCACGCCCGAUUCCGUACCACUUUGACGCCGACCCCAUCAUCUUCUCAUUUCACCUUAAGGUUUUGGCGUGUAGCUCUAAAAACGGACUCUUGGAAAACAGAGCCACGAGCAAUGCCGCUCCUAGGUAUGGACCCAAGAGAACUGAAGACAUGUCCACACGGAACCUUGUGCAGGAACGUGCACAGCAGCAUCCUUCCUAACAGCCCGAAAGUAAACACGGCCCAAACGUCACCAAGUGAUGAAAAGAUCAACUAGAUGUGCCACAUCCAUGCAAUGAGCGUUAUUCUGCAGUAGACAGGAACAAAGUACCAAUCCAGCCUACCACAUGGAUGGACUUGGAAACACCACACUCAGCGAAAGAAGUCAAAUGCAAAAAGCCACAUGCUGUGUGAUUCCAUUCAUAUGAAAUGUCCAGAAUAGGCAAAUCCAUAGAGACAGAAAGUAGAUGAGUAGUUG